CGGCGCCGAGGGCGGCGGCAACCGCGGUGCGCUGCUGGCCCGCUUCGCCGCCGCGUUCGACUCCCGCGGUGCCGGC
Molecule: transfer RNA, 76 nt
Filed under: Rhodococcus sp. YH1
Lineage: Bacteria; Bacillati; Actinomycetota; Actinomycetes; Mycobacteriales; Nocardiaceae
Also listed under: 1 other name
Description: tRNA-Ser
Source: RNAcentral